This 253-nucleotide ribosomal RNA is filed under the name uncultured bacterium. Its description in RNAcentral is "partial 16S ribosomal RNA". It matches the Rfam family "Bacterial small subunit ribosomal RNA", at positions 524 to 776 of the family's 1533-position model. The record is from RNAcentral.
UACGGAGGGUGCAAGCGUUGUUCGGAAUCAUUGGGCGUAAAGCGCGUGUAGGCGGCUUGGCAAGUCGGUUGUGAAAUCCCGGGGCCCAACCCCGGAACUGCAUUCGAAACUGCCUCGCUAGAGUCCCGGAGAGGAAGGCGGAAUUCCCGGUGUAGAGGUGAAAUUCGUAGAUAUCGGGAGGAACACCAGCGGCGAAGGCGGCCUUCUGGACGGUGACUGGCGCUGAGACGCGAAAGCGUGGGGAGCAAACAGG